Non-coding RNA from Triticum aestivum (bread wheat), 134 nucleotides. NCBI's taxonomy places the organism in Eukaryota, Viridiplantae, Streptophyta, Magnoliopsida, Poales, Poaceae. The record is from Rfam.
AAACUACUCCCUCCGUCCCAAAAUUCUUGUCUUAGAUUUGUCUAAAUACGGAUGUAUCAAGUCACAUUUUAGUAUUAGAUACAUCCGUAUCUAGACAAAUCUAAGACAAGAAUUUUGGGACGAGGCAGUAUUAU